This 76-nucleotide transfer RNA is filed under the name Bacillota bacterium. RNAcentral describes it as "Firmicutes bacterium (anaerobic digester metagenome) tRNA-Arg". It matches the Rfam family "tRNA". From Rfam's summary of the family: Transfer RNA (tRNA) molecules are approximately 80 nucleotides in length. The record is from RNAcentral. RNAcentral also lists the same sequence under 1 other name. Lineage: Bacteria; Bacillati; Bacillota.
GCGCCUGUAGCUCAGGGGACAGAGCAGUGGACUUCUAAUCCAUUAGUCGGGGGUUCGAAUCCUCCCAGGCGCACCA